This 251-nucleotide ribosomal RNA is filed under the name uncultured Glomeromycotina. RNAcentral describes it as "partial 18S ribosomal RNA". It matches the Rfam family "Eukaryotic small subunit ribosomal RNA", at positions 648 to 897 of the family's 1831-position model. Lineage: Eukaryota; Fungi; Glomeromycota. The record is from RNAcentral.
GGUAUAUGUAGGUUGGUCAUGCCUCUGGUAUGUACUGGUCUCACUGAUUCCUCCUUCCUUAUGAACCGUAAUGCCAUUAAUUUGGUGUUGCGGGGAAUUUGGACUGUUACUUUGAAAAAAUUAGAGUGUUUAAAGCAAGCUAACGCUUGAAUACAUUAGCAUGGAAUAAUGAAAUAGGACGUUCGAUCUUAUUUUGUUGGUUUCUAGGAUUGACGUAAUGAUUAAUACCCGAUAGUUGGGCGCGACGGGCG